RNAcentral lists this small RNA (76 nucleotides) under Peptoclostridium acidaminophilum DSM 3953. Its description in RNAcentral is "RAGATH-18 RNA". It matches the Rfam family "RAGATH-18 RNA". Rfam says of the family: Actinobacteria, Firmicutes, Fusobacteria, Thermotogae (1 example). Nearby to self-cleaving ribozyme genes The record is from Rfam by way of RNAcentral. Lineage: Bacteria; Bacillati; Bacillota; Clostridia; Peptostreptococcales; Peptoclostridiaceae.
ACUGUGGAGAGCUAUACCAAACCGUAGUAGACAGAUUGAAUAGCAAUCGUCAAGGCGGGGUUCGUUGAAGCAGUAA